GCCGCUUUAGUUCAGAGGUAGAACAGAGGUAUCGUAAACCUCCAACGGCCGUUCGAUUCGACCAAGCGGCA
Molecule: transfer RNA, 71 nt
Filed under: Candidatus Scatoplasma merdavium
Lineage: Bacteria; Bacillati; Bacillota; Bacilli; Caryophanales
Description: tRNA-Thr
Rfam family: tRNA
About the family: Transfer RNA (tRNA) molecules are approximately 80 nucleotides in length. Their secondary structure includes four short double-helical elements and three loops (D, anti-codon, and T loops).
Source: RNAcentral